UGGGGAAUAUUGGACAAUGGGGGGAACCCUGAUCCAGCGACGCCGCGUGAGUGAAGAAGUAUUUCGGUAUGUAAAGCUCUAUCAGCAGGGAAGAAAAUGACGGUACCUGACUAAGAAGCCCCGGCUAACUACGUGCCAGCAGCCGCGGUAAUACGUAGGGGGCAAGCGUUAUCCGGAUUUACUGGGUGUAAAGGGAGCGCAAACGGCUUGGCAAGUCUGAAGUGAAAGCCCGGGGCUUAACCCCGGGACUGCUUUGGAAACUGUGAAGCUAGAGUGUCGGAGAGGUAAGUGGAAUUCCCAGUGUAGCGGUGAAAUGCGUAGAUAUUGGGAGGAACACCGGUGGCGAAGGCGGCUUACUGGACGAUAACUGACGUUGAGGCUCGAAGGCGUGGGGAGCAAACAGGAUUAGAUACCCUGGUAGUCCACGCGGUAAACGAUGAAUACUAGGUGUCGGGGGACAUAGUCUUUCGGUGCCGCCGCUAACGCAUUAAGUAUUCCACCUGGGAGUACGUUCGCAAGAAUG
RNAcentral lists this ribosomal RNA (523 nucleotides) under uncultured bacterium. Its description in RNAcentral is "bacterial SSU rRNA". It matches the Rfam family "Bacterial small subunit ribosomal RNA", at positions 355 to 896 of the family's 1533-position model. The record is from RNAcentral.